This 501-nucleotide ribosomal RNA is filed under the name uncultured bacterium. Its description in RNAcentral is "partial 16S ribosomal RNA". It matches the Rfam family "Bacterial small subunit ribosomal RNA", at positions 30 to 523 of the family's 1533-position model. The record is from RNAcentral.
AUUGAACGCUGGCGGCAGGCUUAACACAUGCAAGUCGAGCGGGGGAAGGUAGCUUGCUACCGGACCUAGCGGCGGACGGGUGAGUAAUGCUUAGGAAUCUGCCUAUUAGUGGGGGACAACAUCUCGAAAGGGAUGCUAAUACCGCAUACGUCCUACGGGAGAAAGCAGGGGAUCUUCGGACCUUGCGCUAAUAGAUGAGCCUAAGUCGGAUUAGCUAGUUGGUGGGGUAAAGGCCUACCAAGGCGACGAUCUGUAGCGGGUCUGAGAGGAUGAUCCGCCACACUGGGACUGAGACACAGCCCAGACUCCUACGGGAGGCAGCAGAGGGGAAUAUUGGACAAAGGGGGGGACCCUGAUCCAGCCAUGCCGCGUGUGUGAAGAAGGCCUUAUGGUUGUAAAGCACUUUAAGCGAGGAGGAGGCUACUUUAGUUAAUACCUAGAGAUAGUGGACGUUACUCGCAGAAUAAGCACCGGCUAACUCUGUGCCAGCCGCCGCCGUAA